UGGUGAUGAUGAAAAUCUAGAUUUCGUUGAAAGCAUUUCUGUGUUUGAUGUGAUAUCGACAUGGCGAUGACCAUGUUGAUCCUGAGCAGUUACCUGAGCAA
RNAcentral lists this small nucleolar RNA (101 nucleotides) under Macleaya cordata. RNAcentral describes it as "small nucleolar RNA snoR128". It matches the Rfam family "small nucleolar RNA snoR128". The record is from Rfam by way of RNAcentral. Lineage: Eukaryota; Viridiplantae; Streptophyta; Magnoliopsida; Ranunculales; Papaveraceae.